RNAcentral lists this ribosomal RNA (505 nucleotides) under uncultured bacterium. RNAcentral describes it as "partial 16S ribosomal RNA". It matches the Rfam family "Bacterial small subunit ribosomal RNA", at positions 28 to 507 of the family's 1533-position model. The record is from RNAcentral.
GACGAACGCUGGCGGCGUGCCUAAUACAUGCAAGUAGAACGCACAGUUUAUACCGUAGCUUGCUACACCAUAGACUGUGAGUUGCGAACGGGUGAGUAACGCGUAGGUAACCUGCCUGGUAGCGGGGGAUAACUAUUGGAAACGAUAGCUAAUACCGCAUCAUAUUGAUUAUUGCAUGAUAAUUGAUUGAAAGAUGCUAUUGCAUCACUACCAGAUGGACCUGCGUUGUAUUAGCUAGUAGGUGAGGUAACGGCUCACCUAGGCGACGAUACAUAGCCGACCUGAGAGGGUGAUCGGCCACACUGGGACUGAGACACGGCCCAGACUCCUACGGGAGGCAGCAGUAGGGAAUCUUCGGCAAUGGACGAAAGUCUGACCGAGCAACGCCGCGUGAGGGAAGAAGGUUUUCGGAUCGUAAAGCUCUGUUGUAAGAGAAGAACGGGUGUGAGAGUGGAAAGUUCACACUGUGACGGUAUCUUACCAGAAAGGGACGGCUAACUACGUG